This is a long non-coding RNA of Gadus morhua (Atlantic cod), 1736 nucleotides long. RefSeq lists it as uncharacterized. Lineage: Eukaryota; Metazoa; Chordata; Actinopteri; Gadiformes; Gadidae. The record is from RefSeq and is a predicted model, not a curated record. The transcript is spliced from 2 exons.
AAUGCUGUUGGUGUGAAAGCACGAAUAAAACUUGUGAAAAGUAUCGUCAUGUAAUCCAUUUAUUUCAACAAUGUAACUGUAUUCUAAAUUCUAUGAUUUGUAACCUCCCAAACACUAUCAAACCAAACCCAAACUGUGGUCCAUGAUCAUCAGUUUUCUUUGUAUGCUUUCUCUGUGGCUGUUUUGACAUGGAACCAUACACGAUGUUGAUGUGUUCAUCUUUGAAGCGAAACGUCAACUGAAUUCCAUCAGUUAUCAGUUUGGGAUGUCUUAUUUGUUUUAAAGAGGCAAAUUUAUGUUGUUAAAACAAAACAGUUUUAGGAGAUCAACAGUUGGAGGAAAACUUGCAGGAAGGUCUUGAAGUGAGGCCAACAGCAGCCUGCAUGAUGGGACCAGUAGUCACAACCAAGGGUCUCUAAAUAAACCAGAAGCACAUGACCUUCAGGACUGUCUUAAGGAAUUGUUAAGUAUUUGUCAACCUAAUGUACUCUUCUGUUCUCACUCCCCAUCAGCUACUUCCUGUUCCUGUUUAUGACAACGUCUCAGCUCUGACCAAUCGCUUAGACACUGUAGCACAGAGAGAACCAAUAGAAGAGCUGGAUGACCAUCACUAUGCCAGCAUCGACACCUCUGUGUCGAGGAGCAGGAAGUGCCUGGCUCCGGUGCCAAUCAGUCAAGACUGCUGUCUUUUACUCUCUGGUCGACAUUCAAAGGGUCAACGCUGUCCCUGGAGAAAGUGACCCGGCAGAAACCCCAGAGUUCUACAGCACCAUCAAAUAAUACCUCAGAUAUUGAACCAGUUGUUGCAGCAAUAUUUAAAUAGUGGAACUAGGUAGAGAGUCUCAUCCAUUUAGUUUAACAGCACAAUACGCUGGCUGCAUCCUAUGGCGCUUAAUUACCUGGACGGAAUACUUGCCACCACUGCUCAUAAAUGAUCUGAUUGAUUGGCCUUAUUUGACUUGAUUGUGUACGUUCCACCAACCCAGUCGCCAAAAGCAUACGUUGACCGUGUACGUUUUCGUGAAGACUGGAUUACGUCGCAUUUCAAUGUAAAAUAGCGUGUUAUACCUACAGUAUCCGCUCUUGGCGCUGUGGAGGCGCCUGAAGAAAGCACAACCAACAAGGACAUUUCCUGGUUAUAAAAUGCAUCAAUUCCUUGUUAUAAAAAUACAUAAAUUAUAAUUAUUUGGAGACUUCCCAUCGCUGUCAGUACGGCGAAGGUGACGGUGAUGCAGGGUUGCAAGCUUCACGGUUUUCUCGCUAAAUUGGGCUGUUUUGAAAACAGAGUCGCGGGUGUAAACCUCAAAGACGCGGUUCACGGUUUUCUUUGGUACUUUCAAAUCCCACCACAGAAAACAGUUGGGGUGUAUUAUGUAUUCUAUAAUCUUUAUGAAAACUCAGUCAGAACUAUUAAACACCAGAGGAUGGGCGGGGUGGGGCAGUGGACACACACACACAAACACAAUGCCCUCAAAUAUUAUUACUUUCAAUACAUUGGCCAAAAUGAAACAUCUUUUAAUUUGGGCUGCUUCUAGGACAUUUUGGGUGGAUUUUGAACAGUAUGUGGGCAGGACGUUGUUUGCAGGACCUGGCAACCCUGCGCUGUUGUCCGAGGUGCUGAAAUUCUCCUGAACAGAUCUGGAUCCAUGGCCAAAAAGACUUAUUAUAGAUUAAACUUAACUUUUCAAUAAAUACUAUGGCAGAAUAAAGACUACAUUUAUGCAUUGCAACUUGAA